Molecule: transfer RNA, 71 nt
Filed under: Upeneus parvus (dwarf goatfish)
Lineage: Eukaryota; Metazoa; Chordata; Actinopteri; Syngnathiformes; Mullidae
Description: tRNA-Ser
Rfam family: tRNA
About the family: Transfer RNA (tRNA) molecules are approximately 80 nucleotides in length.
Source: RNAcentral
AAGAAAGUGACAGACCGGUCAUGUGGAUGGCUUGAAACUAUCCUAAGGGGGUUCGACUCCUCCCUUUCUCG